GGAGCUGUAGACGUAUGGUA
RNAcentral lists this non-coding RNA (20 nucleotides) under Arabidopsis thaliana (thale cress). The record is from RNAcentral. Lineage: Eukaryota; Viridiplantae; Streptophyta; Magnoliopsida; Brassicales; Brassicaceae.